RNAcentral lists this ribosomal RNA (195 nucleotides) under uncultured bacterium. RNAcentral describes it as "partial 16S ribosomal RNA". It matches the Rfam family "Bacterial small subunit ribosomal RNA", at positions 338 to 525 of the family's 1533-position model. The record is from RNAcentral. RNAcentral also lists the same sequence under 1 other name.
UCUACGGGAGGCAGCAGUGGGGAAUAUUGCACAAUGGGCGCAAGCCUGAUGCAGCCAUGCCGCGUGUAUGAAGAAGGCCUUCGGGUUGUAAAGUACUUUCAGCGGGGAGGAAGGCGAUGCGGUUAAUAACCGCGUCGAUUGACGUUACCCGCAGAAGAAGCACCGGCUAACUCCGUGCCAGCAGCCGCGGUAAUA